GCCUGGGUGGCUCAGUCGGUUGAGCGUCCGACUUCGGCUCAGGUCAUGAUCUCGCGGUCGUGGGUUCGAGCCCCGCGUCGGGCU
Transfer RNA from Felis catus (domestic cat), 84 nucleotides. It matches the Rfam family "tRNA". From Rfam's summary of the family: Transfer RNA (tRNA) molecules are approximately 80 nucleotides in length. Their secondary structure includes four short double-helical elements and three loops (D, anti-codon, and T loops). The record is from Rfam. NCBI's taxonomy places the organism in Eukaryota, Metazoa, Chordata, Mammalia, Carnivora, Felidae.